This 326-nucleotide long non-coding RNA is filed under the name Hordeum vulgare. Its description in RNAcentral is "long non-coding RNA (HVUL_LNC006689)". Lineage: Eukaryota; Viridiplantae; Streptophyta; Magnoliopsida; Poales; Poaceae. The record is from RNAcentral.
GGAGCUAUAUUUUAGUUACUUAGUGAUAUAGAUUCUGUUUUUGUUAUUUUUUUGCUGUUUAGUGCUAUAUAGGUUUAGCGAUAGGAUUAGUUAGCUUGGUUAGUUAGGUUAGUUAGUUAGUUAGUUAGCUUAAUAUAAAGAAGAGGAAGAAGAAGAAGAGGAGGAGGAGGAGCAGAGGAGAAGAGGAGGAGGACGAGGAGGAGGAGGAGGAGAAGAAGAAGAAGAAGAAGAAGAAGAAGAAGGAGAAGAAGAAGAAGAAGAAGAAUAGAAGACAAUAAUAAGGAGAAGAAGAAAAUAAGAAGAUAAGAAGAGAAUAAGAAGAGAAG